UCAAAUGGACAGCAAGCAAUAAUGAUACGUUCAGCUGAGAGGCUCAACUGGAUCGACAGCUGAGAAGACUUUUUUAGAAUUCACAAAAGUAAAGAAACUUCAAGAGUUACCUGAAGAAGUCACAAGAAGUUGCACUGUGAAUGACACGGACAAGCUAAUGGCCUAAGCAGCACUGAGACAAGUUCAGGACAUCUUGUGACACCCUACCAAAGAAGGAAAACUCAGUGGUGAAAUAUGAGACAACCUCCAGGCAUCUGGGGAACUUUCAUCCCAUCAGAUAAGCCAGCCCAGGAACCUACUUACCUCUCCCAUGAGAGAACUCGGCAUUUACUCCAGAAACAUCACUCUCUGGACCACAUGUGGCAAGGCAGAAUCUGGAGGGGAACUGCUGAAACGGAUUCCUUAAAACAAAGACUCCAGAUGGAUUUUGAAUCUCCAAAAAUGAAAUAGAACAACCCACUUUUUAGCUAGAGAAUGGCUGCACAAAACAGAAUUAGAGUUUGAAAGCAGAUCUCCCCUUCUCAUCACAACGAGUACUCAGUGUUUUCUUUUGCUGCAAUGAGUUACAUACAGGUGACAGCAACCUAUGGGAAGGGACUCAUGUAUCUCUGUAUUGGCAUGUUGUACUUUCUGAGAAGCCAUAGGGUACCUGAGGGACCAGCUCUUCAGAAGGGUGCAGGUCUCUCAUACAGUUUGUAUCAUGUCUUAGUCCUGGCUGCUCUCUGAUCUUCUCAACAGUUUUCCUGUCUGCUAAAUCUCACAUCAUGACUUCGUGCCCUCUCUGUACUCUGGGGGCACUCCUCAGAUCUGUCGGUGUCCACAGAGUCUGAACAAUGCACAGCAGAUGGUACCACAGACACAAGUCCUCCUCCCUGCUACCUACCCACACUCUUAGAGAAUGCAGUAAGCCACAAACAAACAAGUAAAACAUGUGCCAGGACUCUCAAAGGAAACAUACAGUUUGAAAGCUUCUCUUCCUGUUUCUCAGGCUAAACACCCCGGGUGUUUGUGGAAGAUGCUGAUCAUGCCCUUUCUGAAUAAUCACAUGCUAGAGGUUAAACUUUCACCAUCCCCUUUACCGUGCAUACUGCAAGACCUUUGACAAGUAAAUGGCUAAUGAAAUACUCAGAGAAUUGCUUCAUAAUAUGAAAUUUAUGUUCUACAAUGCAAUCUACAUUCAGUCAACAAACUAAGAUGCAGAACAAUAUCUGGUCUGCAGGAAACAAACAGCUUUUCCUGAUGCCAAAGGGAGCUGCUCAAUUUACCCUGGAUUUUCGGAGGGCACUGACCAUCAGACUGGAGAAUAUUUAAUAUUUGAAAGUGCAUCUUCUUCUUUUGUAUCACCACUAAAGUUAUUUGGUCUUCUCCCAGCUUUUAGAAAUUACCUCUGGUUUCUAGAACAACUUGGAUACUUCCUUCAUAUACAAAAUGUCAUUCCUGUACCUUACAAGAUACACAGUGUAUCUGCUGGUCAAAGCCAUCCUUUGGAAACACAGGCAAACACACCCCAGAAUGUCUUUUACUGAUAAAAAU
Molecule: long non-coding RNA, 1533 nt
Filed under: Cairina moschata (Muscovy duck)
Lineage: Eukaryota; Metazoa; Chordata; Aves; Anseriformes; Anatidae
Description: domestica (muscovy Duck (domestic type)) lncRNA (ENSCMMG00000007056.1)
Source: RNAcentral